This is a long non-coding RNA of Passer domesticus (house sparrow), 411 nucleotides long. RefSeq lists it as uncharacterized. The transcript is spliced from 3 exons. The record is from RefSeq and is a predicted model, not a curated record. NCBI's taxonomy places the organism in Eukaryota, Metazoa, Chordata, Aves, Passeriformes, Passeridae.
AGAUCAGGAAAACUGAUAGAGCAUUUCCUCACAUUCCCCAAACCUCUCUAUUGAAUUCAGUAUAACAUUAUUAUACUGACAGCCUUACAGAAAUAAGAAGAUAAGGCUACUGAAACAGCUAUGCCACAGUGUAUUUAAUAGCAACGGAGGAUGGCGGAUGAGUGAGAAGCUGUGUGGUACUUAGCUGCCACCUGGGGCUAAACCAUGACGGUGUCAUCACACAGAAGGAUCUGCUGGAACAUGCCCAACAUGUGUCCUAACAAGACUACAGACUACAAAAGGGGAUCAUCAUGGAUAUAAUUUCCAAUACCAUUUGUCUCCUUCUCAGAGCUUGUCAAUGACAUUAUUCUCAUAUAAUUUAAACAAAUAUUUCGAUAUUGGCUUUUAAACCAGCUGUAGCAUGCUAAUUAA